RNAcentral lists this long non-coding RNA (399 nucleotides) under Triticum aestivum (bread wheat). RNAcentral describes it as "long non-coding RNA (TAES_LNC010785)". Lineage: Eukaryota; Viridiplantae; Streptophyta; Magnoliopsida; Poales; Poaceae. The record is from RNAcentral.
UGAGCCACCACCAGGUCUUGGCAGGCGGUUCUGUUGCUGAAUAUAAACAUCGUUAUUUCAGGCCCAGUUACAUGAUAGGUUACAAAGUCUGCUGGUUGUAUUUCAUGUAUGAGUGUGUCUUGUAUACAUAUAUGUACAGUAAAAAGAGUGGGGCUGCAUCUUCGAUGUUCUCUUGUAUCGAUACUUGGUACUUAUAGUGUGUAAUAAAAGCUUGAAUGUACAACACAUAUCUUUCUCGAGGUUACCUCUCUUUCAAACUUGAUGUUGAAAUUUGAUGUAUCACUCAACAGUUGUUACCCCUCCUUGGAGUAACAAAAGGGGAACAGACUCGUGGUGAACUGCAACCAGGUCUUGGCAGUGGUUAUGUUGCUGAAUAUAAGUGGUGGUUGUUUCAGUUCC